AAAUUGAAGAGUUUGAUCAUGGCUCAGAUUGAACGCUGGCGGCAGGCCUAACACAUGCAAGUCGAACGGUAGCACAGAGAGCUUGCUCUCGGGUGACGAGUGGCGGACGGGUGAGUAAUGUCUGGGAAACUGCCUGAUGGAGGGGGAUAACUACUGGAAACGGUAGCUAAUACCGCAUAACGUCGCAAGACCAAAGAGGGGGACCUUCGGGCCUCUUGCCAUCAGAUGUGCCCAGAUGGGAUUAGCUAGUAGGUGGGGUAACGGCUCACCUAGGCGACGAUCCCUAGCUGGUCUGAGAGGAUGACCAGCCACACUGGAACUGAGACACGGUCCAGACUCCUACGGGAGGCAGCAGUGGGGAAUAUUGCACAAUGGGCGCAAGCCUGAUGCAGCCAUGCCGCGUGUAUGAAGAAGGCCUUCGGGUUGUAAAGUACUUUCAGCGGGGAGGAAGGUGUUGUGGUUAAUAACCACAGCAAUUGACGUUACCCGCAGAAGAAGCACCGGCUAACUCCGUGCCAGCAGCCGCGGUAAUACGGAGGGUGCAAGCGUUAAUCGGAAUUACUGGGCGUAAAGCGCACGCAGGCGGUCUGUCAAGUCGGAUGUGAAAUCCCCGGGCUCAACCUGGGAACUGCAUUCGAAACUGGCAGGCUAGAGUCUUGUAGAGGGGGGUAGAAUUCCAGGUGUAGCGGUGAAAUGCGUAGAGAUCUGGAGGAAUACCGGUGGCGAAGGCGGCCCCCUGGACAAAGACUGACGCUCAGGUGCGAAAGCGUGGGGAGCAAACAGGAUUAGAUACCCUGGUAGUCCACGCCGUAAACGAUGUCGACUUGGAGGUUGUGCCCUUGAGGCGUGGCUUCCGGAGCUAACGCGUUAAGUCGACCGCCUGGGGAGUACGGCCGCAAGGUUAAAACUCAAAUGAAUUGACGGGGGCCCGCACAAGCGGUGGAGCAUGUGGUUUAAUUCGAUGCAACGCGAAGAACCUUACCUACUCUUGACAUCCAGAGAACUUAGCAGAGAUGCUUUGGUGCCUUCGGGAACUCUGAGACAGGUGCUGCAUGGCUGUCGUCAGCUCGUGUUGUGAAAUGUUGGGUUAAGUCCCGCAACGAGCGCAACCCUUAUCCUUUGUUGCCAGCGGUCCGGCCGGGAACUCAAAGGAGACUGCCAGUGAUAAACUGGAGGAAGGUGGGGAUGACGUCAAGUCAUCAUGGCCCUUACGAGUAGGGCUACACACGUGCUACAAUGGCGCAUACAAAGAGAAGCGACCUCGCGAGAGCAAGCGGACCUCAUAAAGUGCGUCGUAGUCCGGAUUGGAGUCUGCAACUCGACUCCAUGAAGUCGGAAUCGCUAGUAAUCGUAGAUCAGAAUGCUACGGUGAAUACGUUCCCGGGCCUUGUACACACCGCCCGUCACACCAUGGGAGUGGGUUGCAAAAGAAGUAGGUAGCUUAACCUUCGGGAGGGCGCUUACCACUUUGUGAUUCAUGACUGGGGUGAAGUCGUAACAAGGUAACCGUAGGGGAACCUGCGGUUGGAUCACCUCCUUACCUUAAAGAA
RNAcentral lists this ribosomal RNA (1550 nucleotides) under Enterobacter sp. T2. RNAcentral describes it as "bacterial SSU rRNA". It matches the Rfam family "Bacterial small subunit ribosomal RNA". Lineage: Bacteria; Pseudomonadati; Pseudomonadota; Gammaproteobacteria; Enterobacterales; Enterobacteriaceae. The record is from RNAcentral.